AGUAACCUGCCCUAGAGUGGGGGACAACAGUUGGAAACGACUGCUAAUACCGCAUAAGCCCACGGUGCCGCAUGGUACUGAGGGAAAAGGAUUUAUUCGCUUUAGGAUGGACUCGCGUCCAAUUAGCUAGUUGGUGAGGUAACGGCCCACCAAGGCGACGAUUGGUAGCCGGACUGAGAGGUUGAACGGCCACAUUGGGACUGAGACACGGCCCAGACUCCUACGGGAGGCAGCAGUGGGGGAUAUUGCACAAUGGGGGAAACCCUGAUGCAGCGACGCCGCGUGGAGGAAGAAGGUUUUCGGAUUGUAAACUCCUGUCGUUAGGGACGAUAAUGACGGUACCUAACAAGAAAGCACCGGCUAACUACGUGCCAGCAGCCGCGGUAAAACGUAGGGUGCAAGCGUUGUCCGGAAUUACUGGGUGUAAAGGGAGCGCAGGCGGGAAGACAAGUUGGAAGUGAAAACCAUGGGCUCAACCCAUGAAUUGCUUUCAAAACUGUUUUUCUUGAGUAGUGCAGAGGUAGAUGGAAUUCCCGGUGUAGCGGUGGAAUGCGUAGAUAUCGGGAGGAACACCAGUGGCGAAGGCGGUCUACUGGGCACC
This 601-nucleotide ribosomal RNA is filed under the name uncultured bacterium. RNAcentral's name for it is "bacterial SSU rRNA". It matches the Rfam family "Bacterial small subunit ribosomal RNA", at positions 120 to 737 of the family's 1533-position model. The record is from RNAcentral.